AUAAACAAAAAUUAACAGUAAACAUUACACUCACAGAAGUUCCAAAAUAAUAAAGACAUUACAUUAUUUUGUAGUGAGUGUAAACGCCAAGCGGAUGCUUCAUAUUUAUACAUCCGGUGAAUUAUCUGUCUCAUUGUUCGGUGGUGAUUCUUUCAACAACGGCUAGUCGGUCGUCACUAGUUACCACAGUCAUAAAGUCAUAAUUAUGGCUAAACCCCAUCCAUUUCUACAACUUCUCUUCUUAAAAUCUGUUUUUUUUUUAACCUAACCUUAACCACACUGCUAAGAUUAUGCCUAAUCCUAACCUUAAAUUAAGACCAAAAAGUAAAAAUCUGUUUUCAUAAAUGUUUUGCCAAUGUUGACUUUGUGGCUGUGGUAACUAGUGACAACCCAGCUAGACAGCGAUGUUAUUUUAUAGUUAAACGACAGUCAGCCACUUCGGUAGCUUGCUAGCUGAAACAUUGAAGCUCUAGACUCGUUCAUGUAUAUUAUCCACUGUGUUUUAGACUCACUUCUGUCGUCUAGCUAGUUAUCCCAUUUAAUUUCAUAUUUACGUUGUUGUUAUUAGUCAGCUAACGUAGCUGGCUGGUUAAAUUCACUAGCCUAGCUAGCUAACUGUUAGCUAACAUCCCCGACCAUGAGUUCACUAAACUACUCUCCCCCUGCUAAAGAAGAAGAGGUCUGCUGGACGGAGAAAGAGGGUCUGUGGCUGAACGUUGUCGUGAAAGAGGAGAAGGAAGAGGAGGAUGUCACAGUAACAAAAGUAGAGGAUGAGGAUGUUGCAGUGAAGGAAGAGAAAGAGGAGGGAGAGAUAACUGUCAUAUUGGAAGAAGAGGAAGAGGAGGAUAUUGGACAUCUGAUUAAGCCCAGAGAGAGACGUGAUUAUCGUGGAUCCUCUGGGGAGCCUCAACAACCUCAUGAAGCAGAGAAGAGACUCUCCACAUCAGAACACCUCAAGAAACAUCAACGGAAACCCACAGGGAAGAAACUUCACCGCUGCUCUGACUGUGGGAAGAGUUAUUCAAGAUCAGAUUCACUAAAAGUACACCAGAAAAUUCACACUGGAGAUAAAUCCCAUUGCUGCUCAGACUGUGGGAAGAGUUACUCCAGAUCAGAUUCACUAAAAGUACACCAGAGAAUUCACACUGCAGAGAAAACGUAUAGCUGUGAUCAAUGCGGGAAAAGUUUUACUUCUCCUAGCCAGCUGACUAUACACCAGAGAACACACACAGGAGAGAAACCUUUCCACUGCUCUGACUGUGGAAAGAGUUUUGUUAUCGCAGGAAAUUUAAAAUCACACCAGAGAACACACACAGGAGAGAAGCCUUAUAGCUGUAAUCAAUGUGGGAAGAGUUUUGCUUACUCAAGCAGCCUGAUAGCACAUUUAAAAACACACACAUGAGAGAAUCUACUGCGCUGACUGUGGGGAGACCUUUUCAGAAUCACCUACAUUACAAUCACAGCAGAAAAUUUACACAGGAAAGAAAUCUUAUAGUAUUUUAAUUAAUAAUGUCACAAUGUAGAAUCCCAAAUGUUUGCCCCCUGUUCUAUUGAUUUCAGCAUGAUAUGGAUAUUAGGGGAAAAAAAUCCAGGCUCUGAAUUGAAAGAGUACUAUUUAUGUGAUUAACAAAAAGUGACUAACUAAAGAAAGUGUUGCGUUACACUUACCUCAUUGGUGACCCACUUCAAUCAAAAUAUAACACUUCAAAAUGUAGCUAGCUGUUCUCUAGAAAUUGUCCUCUAACCAGUGAUUCCGUGUGGUGUUUGAGCUGUUAGUUUUAACAGGACGUGCAACCUCAUCUCCCCCCUCUUGCGCAAUUGAUUUCAACGUGAUAUCGAUGAGUGAUGGCAAAUAAGUGUUGUAUUCCUUUGUUUAGCGACCCACACAUUUAAAUGCAUCACUCCAAAAUGUAGCUGACUGUCUUCUGCAGGUUGUCCUCUAACCAGUGAGGUAAAAGAUAUCUCCCAUUUCCAUGUGUGUUUUUAGUUGUGUUAGUUUCAACAGCACGUACAACCUGAUUUUUAUCCGAUCAAUGUCCGUAAUUUAUUGCCACUUGUCAAAACAACAGUGUUUUUGGUGCUUGUGCAGUUUAUAAGGAGCUUGUUUAAAAAAAAAAAAAUGAAAGGAAUAUGCUUAUUAUUGUGUUUGUGUAUAUAGUACAUUUUAUGUUUUAGAUUUUCAAUAUAUCACAAACUGUUUCUGCAUAUUGGUUAUUGAUUUGGACGCGUUAAAAAUGUUUGGACUUUGGGCUAUCCCACCUAGCAAAAUGUAAUUGAAAAGACGUUGAAAAAAAGACCGAAGUUCAAUCUACGUUUUUUUUAAGUAUUAAAGACUUAUUUGUAUUCAACGUUUUUAACUUUUUUUAUUAUCCCAUUCCUCACCAUUAAGUGAAUUAUUGCCAAUACAUAUUAACAAAGGGGUGUACAUUCGGUUUUGAUAUUUCAAAAUAUUUACAUUUCAUGUAACAUUUUAGUAAUCAUAAUUAUUUAUGCAACCAACUGACAAUUUGUUUUUACGAUUAUAUUGUUGACUAACAAUGUAGUAAAACAAGCUUAUAUUUUUGGUUGGAUAUUAUAUCCUAUUCUUACUAUUUUAAUCAAUGUCAUUUUUUUAGAAUGCUCAAUAGUCUUUAAGUUAUUAUUGUUCUUUAGUUUUUUAUCCUCUUAUGUUUGUUUUGUAGUAAAUAUUACAGUUUUUAUUUUCAUUCGUUUUUUUAAUGAUUUUUUUUCUUUGAAGCGCAUUGCUUUGCAUCCAUGUCUGAAAUGUGCUGUAUAAAUAAAGCUUGAUUUGAACAUA
Molecule: RNA transcript, 2797 nt
Organism: Salmo salar (Atlantic salmon)
Lineage: Eukaryota; Metazoa; Chordata; Actinopteri; Salmoniformes; Salmonidae
Source: RefSeq, a predicted model, not a curated record